Aedes albopictus (Asian tiger mosquito) is the source of this 74-nucleotide non-coding RNA. Lineage: Eukaryota; Metazoa; Arthropoda; Insecta; Diptera; Culicidae. The record is from Rfam.
UGUUCUGUAGCUUAGUUGGUUAAAGCGCCGGACUAGUGAUAACGGAGUCGUGGGUUCGAAUCCCACCAAAACAA